Molecule: ribosomal RNA, 384 nt
Filed under: Obesogammarus obesus
Lineage: Eukaryota; Metazoa; Arthropoda; Malacostraca; Amphipoda; Gammaridae
Description: partial 16S ribosomal RNA
Rfam family: Bacterial large subunit ribosomal RNA (bases 240-384)
Source: RNAcentral
UUGAGAACUAGUAUGAACGGUUUCAUAGGCCAAAUCAGUUUGUUUUUUUUUUUGUAUAUUAAAGAUAAAGUAAAAAUUCUUUAAUUAAUUAAGGGACGAUAAAACCCUAAAAGCUUUAAAAUUAGUUUAAGUUUAAUGUUUUUUUAGUAUAUUAAUUCACUGGGGAAGUGUUUAUAUUUAAAUUAUAAAAUAAUUAAAAGGUUCUUUAAAUAAAGAUUUAUUGGGCUAGUUACUUUAGGGAUAACAGUGCAAUAUUUUUGGGGAGACCACAUCUAUAAAAAUGUUUGCAACCUCGAUGUUGAAUUAGGAUUUCUUUACAAGUAAAAUAUGUGAGAGAGAGUUUGUUCAACUUUUAAAUUUCUACAUGAUCUGAGUUCAAACCGG